CCCAGGAUCCCAGAAUUGGCUGCUGCUCUCUUGCCCUCCUUUCCAGCUAUAGGAAAAUCCCUCUCAGGAAAGGCCUUUCUCCUCCUUCCAUCUUUCCAGUUUCUUUGCCAGCAAACUCUGCUCACUUUCUGGGAUCCAGGCUUUGGGCAACUAAUGGUAGUAAGAAGAAAUAUCCUUCGGGUGAUGCCUGUAUCCCCUGUCACUUAAGGAUAAGCCCAAAGUGGAUUAACUAAUGCCUCAAAAUACUUAUCCAGACACUGAAACAAAAGAAGCCAGUUUCUAAAUCAUAGGCAGUUUUUAAUCAGCCAUGAAGAGGACACUUGAUCAAGCAGAGCCGGCAGAGGAAAAACAGAGGCUGAACUGGGGGAGGCUGCCAUGGAGGAGAUGAUCAGCAAAACUAGACCAUUCAACUGCCGUGAAUGAGAAUAACUGCCGUCCUCACAUUUAUCUCACCCUCUCUCCUUCCUUUGGGGGCUUGCUUUCAAUGUGAGCAAACUUCCAAAGUCAAGAAAUUGUCAACUAUGUACCCACCUGGCCAAAGGAGACAACAGCUCAAUCUGAAGCCAUCUUAGCAGGACAGCCCUUAUUAAAUUCAUAGGUUCUUGCUAAACAGUGCCAAUUGUACUGUGCCUACAUUUUCAUCCACUGUGACUGAAGAAGGCUCACACAAAGCCUCUGAUACAAAUACCUUAAACUAUCCCAAACCAAAGUUAGGCAAACAACACUUCCUUAUUUCUACACUGCUUCAAUUGCCUCAUGCAUUAAAUUCUCUCCAACAUGAUGUAAGUAGAUAAUGAAAAUUUUAAGGUUAUAUUUUAAUUUUAUUGAUGUGAG
RNAcentral lists this long non-coding RNA (834 nucleotides) under Cricetulus griseus (Chinese hamster). Its description in RNAcentral is "lncRNA (ENSCGRG00015033171.1)". Lineage: Eukaryota; Metazoa; Chordata; Mammalia; Rodentia; Cricetidae. The record is from RNAcentral.